CGGCGGGUCUUAGGCGGGGGGCUAGGGGUCCCCUGUACCGUAAACCCCCUAUACGACGGGCCGAAAGCUGAGGCUGAGGCGUCUGUGGCCGCCUAACCCCCACUUCCGAGGCUUUGACUACUCGUCCCCUAGGGCCGGCGGUCGCCAGGCGGUUUCCGUAGGGAAACCUGCCAUGGCGUUUGCCAGGCGAACCUGGCUAGGCCCGGGAGGGAGCAACCUAAGCCUGGACGUUCGGCGCUUAGGGGGGUGCGGGUACGAGCGUAGGGUUUGGAAGGUUGGGCGGAUUCUGGGCGUCGAACCUCAGUGACCCGCCG
RNAcentral lists this signal recognition particle RNA (314 nucleotides) under Candidatus Bathyarchaeota archaeon. Its description in RNAcentral is "signal recognition particle sRNA". It matches the Rfam family "Archaeal signal recognition particle RNA". Lineage: Archaea; Thermoproteati; Candidatus Bathyarchaeota. The record is from RNAcentral.